RNAcentral lists this ribosomal RNA (461 nucleotides) under uncultured bacterium. RNAcentral describes it as "SSU rRNA". It matches the Rfam family "Bacterial small subunit ribosomal RNA", at positions 26 to 518 of the family's 1533-position model. The record is from RNAcentral.
AGAGCGAACGCUGGCGGCAGGCCUAAUACAUGCAAGUCGAACGGACCCUUCGGGGUUAGUGGCGGACGGGUGAGUAACACGUGGGAACGUGCCCUUUGGUUCGGAACAACUCAGGGAAACUUGAGCUAAUACCGAAUGUGCCCCCUCCUUUGAUUAGGGGGGUGGGAAAGAUUUAUCGCCAUUGGAGCGGCCCGCGUCUGAUUAGCUAGUUGGUGGGGUAAAGGCCCACCAAGGCUACGAUCAGUAGCUGGUCUGAGAGGAUGAUCAGCCACACUGGGACUGAGACACGGCCCAGACUCCUACGGGAGGCAGCAGUAGGGAAUCUUGCGCAAUGGGCGAAAGCCUGACGCAGCCAUGCCGCGUGAAUGAUGAAGGUCUUAGGAUUGUAAAAUUCUUUCAGCGGGGACGAUAAUGACGGUACCCGCAGAAGAAGCCCCGGCUAACUUCGCGCCAGCAGCCGC